UACGGGGGGGGCAAGCGUUGUUCGGAAUUACUGGGCGUAAAGGGCGCGUAGGCGGCCAACUAAGUCCGACGUGAAAUCCCCAGGCUCAACCUGGGAACUGCGUCGGAUACUGGAUGGCUUGAAUUCGGGAGAGGGAUGCAGAAUUCCUGGUGUAGCGGUGACAUGCAUUGAUAUCAGGAGGAACACCCGUGGCGAAGGCGGUUCACUGGGCCUUUCCUGACGCUGAGGCGCGAAAGCGUGGGUAGCAAACAGG
RNAcentral lists this ribosomal RNA (253 nucleotides) under uncultured bacterium. Its description in RNAcentral is "partial 16S ribosomal RNA". It matches the Rfam family "Bacterial small subunit ribosomal RNA", at positions 524 to 776 of the family's 1533-position model. The record is from RNAcentral.